GAUGAACGCUGGCGGCGUGCCUAAUACAUGCAAGUCGAGCGAACGGACGAGAAGCUUGCUUCUCUGAUGUUAGCGGCGGACGGGUGAGUAACACGUGGAUAACCUACCUAUAAGACUGGGAUAACUUCGGGAAACCGGAGCUAAUACCGGAUAAUAUUUUGAACCGCAUGGUUCAAAAGUGAAAGACGGUCUUGCUGUCACUUAUAGAUGGAUCCGCGCUGCAUUAGCUAGUUGGUAAGGUAACGGCUUACCAAGGCAACGAUGCAUAGCCGACCUGAGAGGGUGAUCGGCCACACUGGAACUGAGACACGGUCCAGACUCCUACGGGAGGCAGCAGUAGGGAAUCUUCCGCAAUGGGCGAAAGCCUGACGGAGCAACGCCGCGUGAGUGAUGAAGGUCUUCGGAUCGUAAAACUCUGUUAUUAGGGAAGAACAUAUGUGUAAGUAACUGUGCACAUCUUGACGGUACCUAAUCAGAAAGCCACGGCUAACUACGUGCCAGCAGCCGCGGUAAUACGUAGGUGGCAAGCGUUAUCCGGAAUUAUUGGGCGUAAAGCGCGCGUAGGCGGUUUUUUAAGUCUGAUGUGGAAGCCCACGGCUCAACCGUGGAGGGUCAUUGGAAACUGGAAAACUUGAGUGCAGAAGAGGAAAGUGGAAUUCCAUGUGUAGCGGUGAAAUGCGCAGAGAUAUGGAGGAACACCAGUGGCGAAGGCGACUUUCUGGUCUGUAACUGACGCUGAUGUGCGAAAGCGUGGGGAUCAAACAGGAUUAGAUACCCUGGUAGUCCACGCCGUAAACGAUGAGUGCUAAGUGUUAGGGGGUUUCCGCCCCUUAGUGCUGCAGCUAACGCAUUAAGCACUCCGCCUGGGGAGUACGACCGCAAGGUUGAAACUCAAAGGAAUUGACGGGGACCCGCACAAGCGGUGGAGCAUGUGGUUUAAUUCGAAGCAACGCGAAGAACCUUACCAAAUCUUGACAUCCUUUGACAACUCUAGAGAUAGAGCUUUCCCCUUCGGGGGACAAAGUGACAGGUGGUGCAUGGUUGUCGUCAGCUCGUGUCGUGAGAUGUUGGGUUAAGUCCCGCAACGAGCGCAACCCUUAAGCUUAGUUGCCAUCAUUAAGUUGGGCACUCUAAGUUGACUGCCGGUGACAAACCGGAGGAAGGUGGGGAUGACGUCAAAUCAUCAUGCCCCUUAUGAUUUGGGCUACACACGUGCUACAAUGGACAAUACAAAGGGCAGCGAAACCGCGAGGUCAAGCAAAUCCCAUAAAGUUGUUCUCAGUUCGGAUUGUAGUCUGCAACUCGACUACAUGAAGCUGGAAUCGCUAGUAAUCGUAGAUCAGCAUGCUACGGUGAAUACGUUCCCGGGUCU
RNAcentral lists this ribosomal RNA (1372 nucleotides) under uncultured bacterium. Its description in RNAcentral is "bacterial SSU rRNA". It matches the Rfam family "Bacterial small subunit ribosomal RNA", at positions 28 to 1381 of the family's 1533-position model. The record is from RNAcentral.